AGAGUUUGAUCCUGGCUCAGGAUUAACGCUGGCGGCGUGCCUAACACAUGCAAGUCGAGCGAUGAAGCUUCCUUCGGGAAACGGAUUAGCGGCGGACGGGUGAGUAACACGUGGGUAACCUGCCUUAUAGUGGGGGAUAGCCUUUCGAAAGGAAGAUUAAUACCGCAUAAGAUUGCAGUAUCGCAUGAUAUAGCAAUUAAAGGAGCAAUUCGCUAUAAGAUGGACCCGCGUCGCAUUAGCUAGUUGGUGAGGUAACGGCUCACCAAGGCGACGAUGCGUAGCCGACCUGAGAGGGUGAUCGGCCACAUUGGGACUGAGACACGGCCCAGACUCCUACGGGAGGCAGCAGUGGGGAAUAUUGCACAAUGGGCGAAAGCCUGAUGCAGCAACGCCGCGUGAGUGAUGACGGCCUUCGGGUUGUAAAACUCUGUCUUCAGGGACGAUAAUGACGGUACCUGAGGAGGAAGCCACGGCUAACUACGUGCCAGCAGCCGCGGUAAUACGUAGGUGGCAAGCGUUGUCCGGAUUUACUGGGCGUAAAGGGAGCGUAGGCGGAUGUUUAAGUGGGAUGUGAAAUACUCGGGCUCAACUUGAGUGCUGCAUUCCAAACUGGAUAUCUAGAGUGCAGGAGAGGAAAGGAGAAUUCCUAGUGUAGCGGUGAAAUGCGUAGAGAUUAGGAAGAAUACCAGUGGCGAAGGCGCCUUUCUGGACUGUAACUGACACUGAGGCACGAAAGCGUGGGGAGCAAACAGGAUUAGAUACCCUGGUAGUCCACGCAGUAAACGAUGGAUAAUAGAUGCAGGGGGUAUUCACUCCUUCUGUGUCGCAGCUAACGCAAUAAAGUAUCCCGCCUGGGGAGUGCGGCCGCAAGGUUGAAACUCAAAGGAAUUGACGGGGGCCCGCACAAGCAGCGGAGCAUGUGGUUUAAUUCGACGCAACGCGAAAAACCUUACCAAGACUUGACAUCGCGCGCUAUCCCUGGAAACAGGGAGUUCCUUCGGGACGCGCAGACAGGUGGUGCAUGGUUGUCGUCAGCUCGUGUCGUGAGAUGUUCGGUUAAGUCCGAUAACGAGCGCAACCCUCAUUACUAGUUGCCAAUAUUAAGUUAGGAACUCUAGUGAGACUGCCGUGGAUAACACGGAGGAAGGUGGGGAUGACGUCAAAUCAUCAUGCCCCUUACGUCUUGGGCUACACACGUGCUACAAUGGCUACUACAAAGAGCUGCAAACCCGUGAGGGCAAGCGAAUCUCAAAAAGGUAGUCUCAGUUCGGAUUGUGGGCUGCAACCCGCCCACAUGAAGUCGGAGUUGCUAGUAAUCCCGAAUCAGCAUGUCGGGGUGAAUGCGUUCCCGGGCCUUGCACACACCGCCCGU
Molecule: ribosomal RNA, 1372 nt
Filed under: synthetic construct
Also listed under: 1 other name
Description: bacterial SSU rRNA
Rfam family: Bacterial small subunit ribosomal RNA
Source: RNAcentral